AACGAACGCUGGCGGCAGGCCUAACACAUGCAAGUCGAGCGAGGACUUCGGUUCUAGCGGCGGACGGGUGAGUAACGCGUGGGAAUGUGCCCUUCUCUACGGAAUAGCCCUGGGAAACUGGGAGUAAUACCGUAUACGCCCUAUUGGGGAAAGAUUUAUCGGAGAAGGAUCAGCCCGCGUUGGAUUAGGUAGUUGGUGUGGUAAUGGCCUACCAAGCCGACGAUCCAUAGCUGGUGUGAGAGGAUGAUCAGCCACACUGGGACUGAGACACGGCCCAGACUCCUACGGGAGGCAGCAGUGGGGAAUCUUAGACGAUGGGGGCAACCCUGAUCUAGCCAUGCCGCGUGAGUGAUGAAGGCCUUAGGGUUGUAAAGCUCUUUCAGCUGGGAAGAUAAUGACGGUACCAGCAGAAGAAGCCCCGGCUAACUCCGUG
RNAcentral lists this ribosomal RNA (433 nucleotides) under uncultured bacterium. Its description in RNAcentral is "partial 16S ribosomal RNA". It matches the Rfam family "Bacterial small subunit ribosomal RNA", at positions 29 to 507 of the family's 1533-position model. The record is from RNAcentral.